AGUGAACGCUGGCGGUAGGCCUAACACAUGCAAGUCGAACGGCAGCACAGUAAGAGCUCGCUCUUACGGGUGGCGAGUGGCGGACGGGUGAGGAAUACAUCGGAAUCUACUUUUUCGUGGGGGAUAACGUAGGGAAACUUGCGCUAAUACCGCAUACGACCUACGGGUGAAAGCAGGGGAUCUUCGGACCUUGCGCGAUUGAAUGAGCCGAUGUCGGAUUAGCUAGUUGGCGGGGUAAAGGCCCACCAAGGCGACGAUCCGUAGCUGGUCUGAGAGGAUGAUCAGCCACCCUGGAGCUGAGACACGGUCCAGACUCCUACGGGAGGCAGCAGUGGGGAAUAGUGGACAAUGGGCGCAAGCCUGAUCCAGCCAUACCGCGUGGGUGAAGAAGGCCUUCGGGUUGUAAAGCCCUUUUGUUGGGAAAGAAAAGCAGCAGGUUAAUACCCCGCUGUUCUGACGGUACCCAAAGAAUAAGCACCGGCUAACUUCGUG
RNAcentral lists this ribosomal RNA (492 nucleotides) under uncultured bacterium. Its description in RNAcentral is "partial 16S ribosomal RNA". It matches the Rfam family "Bacterial small subunit ribosomal RNA", at positions 29 to 507 of the family's 1533-position model. The record is from RNAcentral.